RNAcentral lists this ribosomal RNA (486 nucleotides) under uncultured bacterium. RNAcentral describes it as "partial 16S ribosomal RNA". It matches the Rfam family "Bacterial small subunit ribosomal RNA", at positions 29 to 507 of the family's 1533-position model. The record is from RNAcentral.
AUUGAACGCUGGCGGCAUGCCUUACACAUGCAAGUCGAACGGCAGCACGGGUGCUUGCACCUGGUGGCGAGUGGCGAACGGGUGAGUAAUACAUCGGAACAUGUCCCGCAGUGGGGGAUAGCCCGGCGAAAGCCGGAGUCAUACCGCAGACGAGCUACGGAUGAAAGUGGGGGACCUUCGGGCCUCGCGAUACAGGGUUGGCUGGUGGUGUAUUAGCUAGGUGGGGGGGUAAAGGACUACCAAGGCGACGAGAAGAAGCGGGGCCGAGAGGACGGCCAGAACCACUGGGACUGGGCCGCGGCCCAGCCUCCUACGGGAGGCGGCAGUGGGGUAUGUUGGACUAUGGGCGGAAGCCUGAUCCAGCAAUGCCACGUGUGUGAAGAAAGCCUUCGGGUUGUGAAGCACUUUUGUCCGGAAAGAAAACAUUGGUCCUAAGACGGUCGGGGGAUGACGGUACCGGAAGAAUAAGCCCCGGCUAACUACGUG